CCUACGGGAGGCAGCAGUGAGGAAUAUUGGUCAAUGGGAGAGAUCCUGAACCAGCCAAGCCGCGUGAGGGAAGACGGCCCUAUGGGUUGUAAACCUCUUUUGUCGGAGAACAAAACCCGGGACGAGUCCCGGACUGCGUGUAUCCGAAGACAAAGCAUCGGCUAACUCCGUGCCAGCAGCCGCGGUAAUACGGAGGAUGCGAGCGUUAUCCGGAUUUAUUGGGUUUAAAGGGUGCGUAGGCGGUCUGUUAAGUCAGCGGUAAAAGUGCGGGGCUCAACCCCGUCGAGCCGUUGAAACUGGCAGACUUGAGUUGGCGAGAAGUACGCGGAAUGCGCGGUGUAGCGGUGAAAUGCAUAGAUAUCGCGCAGAACUCCGAUUGCGAAGGCAGCGUACCGGCGCCAGACUGACGCUGAGGCACGAAAGCGUGGGGAUCGAACAGGAUUAGAUACCCCUGUAGUC
RNAcentral lists this ribosomal RNA (459 nucleotides) under uncultured bacterium. Its description in RNAcentral is "partial 16S ribosomal RNA". It matches the Rfam family "Bacterial small subunit ribosomal RNA", at positions 338 to 795 of the family's 1533-position model. The record is from RNAcentral.